This 1846-nucleotide small RNA is filed under the name Pongo abelii (Sumatran orangutan). Its description in RNAcentral is "retained intron". Lineage: Eukaryota; Metazoa; Chordata; Mammalia; Primates; Hominidae. The record is from RNAcentral.
GAAGACCUGCAGGACCUGCGGGCCGGGGGCGUGGACCCAGCGGGCCGCCUGCUGCUGGUGCGCGUGGGGAUGAUCAGCUUCGCCCAGAAGGAAGCUCAAAGGCCCUGUGGCCCCCCAGGAAUGGCAGGGGAGCCUCCUAGGCUCCCCUUAUCACCUGGGCCCCGGGCCAGGACUGCAGCUAGUGGUCAACAAUCACAGGACCUCCACCCCCAUCAACAACAUCUUCGGCUGCAUCGAAGGCCACUCAGAGCCAGGCUUCCGGCCCCGCAGAAGUCUCCUCUUCAUCAGCUGGGAUGGCGGUGACUUUGGAAGCGUGGGCUCCACGGAGUGGCUAGAGGUGAUACGGGGUCCUGGGCAGGUCAUUAGGCAGUGGGGAGAUGUGGGGGCGGGGGGUUCCCACUCCACACUGGUCACCCACCCACAGGGCUACCUCAGCGUGCUGCACCUCAAAGCCGUAGUGUAUGUGAGCCUGGACAACGCAGUGCUGGGGGAUGACAAGUUUCAUGCCAAGACCAGCCCCCUUCUGACAAGUCUCAUUGAGAGUGUCCUGAAGCAGGUGGAUUCUCCCAACCACAGCGGGCAGACUCUCUAUGAACAGGUGGUGUUCACCAAUCCCAGCUGGGAUGCUGAGGUGAUCCGGCCCCUACCCAUGGACAGCAGUGCCUAUUCCUUCACUGCCUUUGUGGGAGUCCCUGCCGUCGAGUUCUCCUUCAUGGAGGUGAGACGUCCUCCCCCUGCCCCAGACACAGCGCUAGUCCUUCAGCCUGUCUGCCUCCGCCCCAGCGUCCACCCUGUCCUGGCAGGACGACCAGGCCUACCCGUUCCUGCACACAAAGGAGGACACUUAUGAGAACCUGCAUAAGGUGCUGCAAGGCCGCCUGCCCGCCGUGGCCCAGGCCGUGGCCCAGCUCGCAGGGCAGCUCCUCAUCCGGCUCAGCCACGAUCGCCUGCUGCCCCUCGACUUCGGCCGCUACGGGGACGUCGUCCUCAGGCACAUUGGGAACCUCAACGAGUUCUCUGGGGACCUCAAGGCCCGCGGGCUGACCCUGCAGUGGGUGUACUCGGCGCGGGGGGACUACAUCCGGGCGGCGGAGAAGCUGCGGCAGGAGAUCUACAGCUCGGAGGAAAGAGACGAGCGACUGACACGCAUGUACAACGUGCGCAUAAUGCGGGUGGAGUUCUACUUCCUUUCCCAGUACGUGUCGCCAGCCGACUCCCCGUUCCGCCACAUCUUCGUGGGCCGCGGAGACCACACGCUGGGCGCCCUGCUGGACCACCUGCGGCUGCUGCGCUCCAACAGCUCCGGAACCCCCGGGGCCACCUCCUCCACCGGCUUCCAGGAGAGCCGCUUCCGGCGUCAGCUAGCCCUGCUCACCUGGACGCUGCAAGGGGCAGCCAAUGCGCUUAGCGGGGAUGUCUGGAACAUUGAUAACAACUUCUGAGGCCCUGGGGAUCCUCACAUCCCCCUGUCCCCCAGUCAAGAGCUCCUCUGCUCCUCACUUGAAUGAUUCAGGGUCAGGGAGGUGGCUCAGAGUCCACCUCUCAUUGCUGAUCAAUUUCUCAUUACCCCUACACAUCUCUCCACAGAGCCCAGACCCAAACACAGAUAUCCACACACGCCAGCCCUGCAGUGUAGCUGACCCUAAUGUGAGGGUCAUACUGUCGGUUAAUCAGAGAGUAGCAUCCCUUCAAUCACAGCCCCUUCCCCUUUCUGGGGUCCUCCAUACCUACAGACCACUCUGGGAGGUUUGCUAGGCCCUGGGACCUGGCCAGCUCGGUUAGUGGGAGAGAUCGCUGGCAUCAUAGCCUUAUGGCCAACAGGCGGUCUGUGGUGAAAGGGGCAUGG